Molecule: RNA transcript, 764 nt
Organism: Enhydra lutris kenyoni (northern sea otter)
Lineage: Eukaryota; Metazoa; Chordata; Mammalia; Carnivora; Mustelidae
Gene name: oral-facial-digital syndrome 1 protein pseudogene
Exons: 1
Source: RefSeq, a predicted model, not a curated record
CCAAAGCAAAAAGGAGCCUCGAUGGUGAAAUGUAUCUGGAAGGUCUGGACCGAUCCCACGCGGCUGACCCCAGUCCUUGUCCCGACAGAACACCCCCGCCUUCAUCUGCUGAGUCCAGGCACAGCGCUGCCCUCCACCCGCCGCCCAGCCCUCCGGAGCAGGCCAGACUUUGUCAAAGACAAAUGGAGCUUCAGGACAAAAGUGAAUUUUCAAAUCCGGCCAAGCUACCUCUUAAGGACAAUGAGGAAUUUGAAUCAUCUUUCGAAUAUGCAGGGAGCGCGGCGAGGCAGUUUGAAGCGGAUGGCCUCCAUCCCGCCGGUGACAUGCCUCACGCGGAUGCCGCCGCGGCCGCCAGACCUGUGUCCUGUCACUACCCGAGCGUGGAUCAAAAACAAAUGGGAGAACAGAAGGAAGAAGAAAACAUGUGGGAAGAGCACAUGAGAGCACGCAGGCAGAGAGAAGAGAGAAGGCAGAGUGAGCGGCAAGAAGCUUUAGAAAGGGAACGAAGAGAACUAGAAAAACUGGAUCAAGAGCGGAGGAUGAUUGAAGAGUCCUUGGAGAUUGAAAUGGAAAAAGAAAUCAGUGUUGAGGAAAUGAAAGGUCAGUCCGUUUGUGGUGAAAAUCCUUUGGAGAAAUACAUGAAGAUUAUUCAGCACAAAUUUGCUUCUUCAUCCACAAAGCCUAAAGUAGUUACUAUCUGGCUUUCUUCUACAAAUAGACAAGUUUGCAAACCCCUGUUCCACCAACAGAAACAAAGGAUUUGA